Molecule: long non-coding RNA, 1356 nt
Organism: Penaeus chinensis
Lineage: Eukaryota; Metazoa; Arthropoda; Malacostraca; Decapoda; Penaeidae
Exons: 2
Source: RefSeq, a predicted model, not a curated record
CCCCCCAACGAGGUCAGACCGAGAUAAGGACGCUACUCUUGGACAAAUUACCUGACCGACGACAACGCAUUAUUUCAAGGUAUGUUUGAAGAAAACAAGCUAAACUAAAGAUAAAUGGAGUGCGACAUAUUCUCAAGCAACUGAAAUCUCAGGCGAGGCAGGCUUGACUGAGAAGCGGGGAGCGGAAGAGGGGAGCCACUGGACUGGAACCCACAGCAACUUUGUUUCUAGUUUGCGUUCAAUAGCCUAAUCUGCAUGUGAGAAGUGGGCGGGUUUACUGAUACCCAACACUGAGGGUUACACAAUUGUUACUUUUUCUUGAUAUUUGAAUUUGUUAAUUAAAUUGAUGGCUAUCCAUCGAUUUAGCUGUUACAAACAAAUGUAGAUAUUCAUAUCAUUUUCUUCUGAAGAGCUCGGAAAAAAGAGACUUUCAGAAUUAUUUCCAUAUUCUAUAGUAUAUCAUAAAAAAAUAGAAAGCUGACUGAAAUACAGUCCUGAAUCUUCAAUCAAACUUUAUAAAACAGAAUAUAUAACAGAUGUAAGAGAAAAAGAAAAUAAGCUUUUUGUAUCAACAAUGUGGGAAGGUCCAGAAAAAAAAAAAUAUAUGAUAAUUAGAUACAGGCUAUGGUUAACCCACAGAUAGUAAGAAUACAUGCAAUAUCCACUAUAAUAUAAGUCUAUUAAUUGUAUUUACACAUAUAUGGCUCUAUAAUUGUCUAGUCACCAAGGAGUCAGUUAUUAGUCCUAACUUUCUCACCUGUUUACCUUUUUUCUUGACUUUUGGGAAGUGUCUAUUGUUACCAAGAUUUUAAUAACAAUUUAAUAAUCAUAAUAAUAAUAAGAAUAAUAAUAGUAUUGAUAUCAAUAGUAUUAGAAAGAGAAACACAUUUUCCUAAAAUAUCAAGGGAGGGGGAAAUCAGAAGCAGUUACUAGGCCUAAAGUAGACUCCUUGCUGGCUGAGAACAUGUGGAGCCAUCUGUAUGUAACAGUACAAAAAUCUAUGGUGACUGGGUUAAAGCAGAUAUGUUGAGAAGAUGAGAAAGUGUUCCCAAGAGUGUAUGAUACCAAUAUACAUUCUCAAGAAUAAAAAUUGGAUAAAGGAAUGAAACAGUAACGAUAUUCUUUCAAGGAGGCAGUGCUGAGGUUAUGUCAUUGAUUCACAUAUAACUAUUUGAUCCAAAAGCUUUUCCUUUUGCAAACUUGAACCAAGAAGAAAAGGAAAAUUAUUUUCUUGAGAAUGACAGAAUGAUGUAAAGCACACUGAAAAACCUGAAAAUGAGAAAACCAGAUAGCUUUUACAGAGAAUUUGGAAUUUGAUUUUGUUUCUGUAGCCUAAAAUAAACUUAAUUACAACUU